CUGUCAUACUGCGAUCCACUGAAGCUUAUCCUUUGCUUGAUGAUUCGAUAAAUAAAUGAUUUUUUCCUGUAGCCAAACACCACCUCGUCAUCAAUUUAGUUUGAGCAUAUAUGCUGUGACCCGAAAGAUGGUGAACUAUACUUGAUCAGGUUGAAGUCAGGGGAAACCUUGAUGGAAGACCGAAACAGUUCUGACGUGCAAAUCGAUUGCCAGAAUUGAGUAUAGGGGCGCAAGACCAAUCGAACCAUCUAGUAGCUGGUUCCUUCCGAAGUUUCCCUCAGGAUAGCUGGUGCAUUUUAAUAUUAUAUAAAAUAAUCUUAUCUGGUAAAGCGAAUGAUUUGAGGCCUUAGGGUCGAAACGAUCUUAACCUAUUCUCAAACUUUAAAUGGGUAAGAACCUUAACUUUCUUGAUAUGAAGUUCAAGGUUAUGAUAUAAUGUGCCCAGUGGGCCACUUUUGUAAGCAGAAUCCCACCAC
RNAcentral lists this non-coding RNA (476 nucleotides) under Drosophila simulans. RNAcentral describes it as "Eukaryotic large subunit ribosomal RNA". It matches the Rfam family "Eukaryotic large subunit ribosomal RNA", at positions 725 to 1159 of the family's 3401-position model. Lineage: Eukaryota; Metazoa; Arthropoda; Insecta; Diptera; Drosophilidae. The record is from Rfam by way of RNAcentral.